This 500-nucleotide ribosomal RNA is filed under the name Kanala montaguei. RNAcentral describes it as "partial 16S ribosomal RNA". It matches the Rfam family "Bacterial large subunit ribosomal RNA", at positions 1853 to 2608 of the family's 2925-position model. The record is from RNAcentral. Lineage: Eukaryota; Metazoa; Arthropoda; Insecta; Coleoptera; Hydrophilidae.
UCUAGUCUGCUCAAUGAUGAAUUAAAUAGCUGCAGUAUUUUGACUGUACAAAGGUAGCAUAAUCAUUAGUUUUUUAAUUGAAAGCUUGUAUGAAUGGCUGAAUGAGAAAAAAACUGUCUAUUUUAUAAUUUUAAAGAAUUUUAUUUUUAAGUUAAAAAGCUUAAAUUUUAAUAAAAGACGAGAAGACCCUAUAGAGUUUAAUUAUUUAUAUUUUUUAGUUAAAAUUUAAGGUUAUUUAUUUUUAUAAAAUUUAGAAUAAUUUAAUUGGGGUGAUAGUAAAAUUUAAUAAACUUUUAAUAAUUAAUUACAUUUAUUUAUGAAUUGUUGAUCCAUAGCUUAUGAUUAAUAGAAUAAAUUACCUUAGGGAUAACAGCGUAAUUUUUUUGGAGAGAUCUUAUUGAUAAAAAAGAUUGCGACCUCGAUGUUGGAUUAAAAUUAACUAUUGGCGCAGAAGUUAAUGGGUUGGGUCUGUUCGACCUUUAAAAUUUUACGUGAUCUGA